CCUACGGGUGGCAGCAGUGAGGAAUAUUGGUCAAUGGGCGCGAGCCUGAACCAGCCAAGUCGCGUGAGGGAUGACGGUCCUACGGAUUGUAAACCUCUUUUGCCGGGGAGCAAGCGUGCGUUCGUGAACGCACGUCGAGAGUACCCGGAGAAAAAGCAUGGGCUAACUCCGUGCCAGCAGCCGCGGUAAUACGGAGGAUGCGAGCGUUAUCCGGAUUUAUUGGGUUUAAAGGGUGCGUAGGCGGGAUGCCAAGUCAGCGGUAAAAAUGCGGUGCUCAACGCCGUCGAGCCGUUGAAACUGGUUUUCUUGAGUGAGUGAGAAGUAUGCGGAAUGCGUGGUGUAGCGGUGAAAUGCAUAGAUAUCACGCAGAACUCCGAUUGCGAAGGCAGCAUACCGGCGCUCAACUGACGCUCAUGCACGAAAGUGUGGGUAUCGAACAGGAUUAGAUACCCGUGUAGUC
This 460-nucleotide ribosomal RNA is filed under the name uncultured bacterium. Its description in RNAcentral is "partial 16S ribosomal RNA". It matches the Rfam family "Bacterial small subunit ribosomal RNA", at positions 338 to 795 of the family's 1533-position model. The record is from RNAcentral.